RNAcentral lists this small nucleolar RNA (130 nucleotides) under Crocodylus porosus (Australian saltwater crocodile). RNAcentral's name for it is "Small nucleolar RNA SNORA31 (ENSCPRG00005001676.1)". It matches the Rfam family "Small nucleolar RNA SNORA31". Rfam says of the family: ACA31 (SNORA31) belongs to the H/ACA class of snoRNAs which are thought to guide the sites of modification of uridines to pseudouridines. ACA31 is predicted to guide the pseudouridylation of U3713 in 28S rRNA and U218 in 18S rRNA. The record is from Rfam by way of RNAcentral. Lineage: Eukaryota; Metazoa; Chordata; Crocodylia; Crocodylidae.
CUGCAUCCCACUGAUUUGACCAUGAGCACUUCUACUGCUCCUUGGUUUGCAACAAGAUGCAAAAGGAACUUCCUUGUACUUUUGUCUGCCUGAUCCUUUGAGAGCACAGAUUGAAUAGGGAAAAACAUGU